UUGUUAGACAUAUUAGCUUUGAAAGGCUUUCCUGAAUGCCACUGAAUCUAGAGGGUCUAUUAACAAUGAUAAAGUUUGAGUCUUACUGCAGCUUUUCCUGAUGCAUUGCCGGGCUCUUUAUAAUGGUCGCCAUUUUCACCUACAGAAACCUAAAUGUUAGCCAUGGGACAUCUAAGACAUCUUCACCAAAUCUUCUGCUUCAGUGUGAGAACUUAAAUCUUUCUGGAAGAGAGAACUGAAAAAAUGUGCCUUGUUUGAUACUUUGAUCUUUGUUCAUUCAGAGAGAUCUUUGAAACAGCAGAAGAAGAUGAACAGCUGGGUUUCACAAAACAAGGCAGACAAAGCAGUUGGAGGUAAGGAGAGGGGUGUUGUGUAGACCCAAGAAGAUAUGUUUUUUCUGGGUUUCCUCAAAGAACAAAGGUAUGCUUUUGUCUUUAAGUUGUGUAUAAGAAAGGCAGCUAGCUAGAACCAGGAGAUCAUGUGUGAGGAGGAACAUAUAUGGGGAAGCCCUGCUCUGCCUAUAGAAUGAGAAAUAGUGGCAACACCCUUUUUUUUUUUUUUAUAUUAUUAGUAUUCACGUAAGAGAGAAGAGAGAGAGAGGAGGAAUUACAAUAAUAAACAAAGGGCCAAAAAGGAAGGGGGGAGAGAUGAUGUGAAUGUGUGGGUCGGAUGUGGGUGGUGGGUGACUUGUCUCAGACUUGCAUUUGGACAAGAUAAUGUGGGUGGGUGGGUGGGUCUGUGAGUCUGGAGCUCUCCACCCAUUGAGCAUGUGGAGUUUGUCAGAAAAUAUAAAUAUAUGUAAUUAACAAAUUGGAUUUGUGUACUGUAAAGCCUGGUUUGUUGUCUAAAAGCCCUCUCAUCCAAGUUCCAACUGUUCUCCCCUGUAUUUAUUCUGUCACCAUCCCUGUAUCUUUGACCUCACAAAACAAAGAAAUAUCAUUUUUUGAUUUUUUUUUUUUUUUUAUGUUUUCGAUGU
This is a long non-coding RNA of Tripterygium wilfordii, 976 nucleotides long. RefSeq lists it as uncharacterized. The transcript is spliced from 2 exons. The record is from RefSeq and is a predicted model, not a curated record. Lineage: Eukaryota; Viridiplantae; Streptophyta; Magnoliopsida; Celastrales; Celastraceae.